GCCGACAUAGCUCAGCCGGUAGAGCAGCGCUUUCGUAAAGCGCAGGUCGUCGGUUCAAGUCCGACUGUCGGCU
RNAcentral lists this transfer RNA (73 nucleotides) under Myxococcales bacterium. RNAcentral's name for it is "tRNA-Thr". It matches the Rfam family "tRNA". Rfam says of the family: Transfer RNA (tRNA) molecules are approximately 80 nucleotides in length. Their secondary structure includes four short double-helical elements and three loops (D, anti-codon, and T loops). RNAcentral also lists the same sequence under 1 other name. The record is from RNAcentral. Lineage: Bacteria; Pseudomonadati; Myxococcota; Myxococcia; Myxococcales.